UACGGAGGAUGCGAGCGUUAUCCGGAUUUAUUGGGUUUAAAGGGUGCGCAGGCGGGGGAUUAAGUCGGCGGUGAAAUUUUGCAGCUCAACUGUAAAAGUGCCUUCGAAACUGGUUUCCUUGAGUGUAGAUGAAGUAGGCGGAAUUUGUGGUGUAGCGGUGAAAUGCAUAGAUAUCACGAGGAACUCCGAUUGCGCAGGCAGCUUACUAAACUACUACUGACGCUCAGGCACGAAGGCGUGGGGAUCAAACAGGAUUAGAUACCCCGGUAGUCCCU
Molecule: ribosomal RNA, 275 nt
Filed under: uncultured prokaryote
Description: partial 16S ribosomal RNA
Rfam family: Bacterial small subunit ribosomal RNA
Source: RNAcentral